CCUACGGGGGGCAGCAGUGGGGAAUAUUGGGCUAUGGAGGAAACUCUGACCCAGCAACGCCGCGCGAAUGAUCAAGGUCUUCGGAUCGUAAAGUUCUUCUCUAAGGGAAGAAGAAAGUGACGGUACCUUAGGAAUAAGCCUCGGCUAAAUACGUGCCAGCAGCGGCGGUAAGACGUAGGAGGCAAGCGUUAUACGGAAGGACUGGGCGAAAAGGGGGCGUAGGCGGUUUGACAAGUUGGUAGCGUAACUCCGGGGCUCAACCUCGGCACUACUACCAAAACUGUCGGACUUGAGUGCAGGAGGGGCAAAUGGAAUUCCUAGUGUAGCGGUGGAAUGCGUAGAUAUUAGGAGGAACACCAGUGGCGAAGGCGAUUUGCUGGACUGUAACUGACACUGAGGCACGAAAGCGUGGGGAGCAAACAGGAUUAGAUACCCGAGUAGUC
RNAcentral lists this ribosomal RNA (443 nucleotides) under uncultured bacterium. RNAcentral's name for it is "partial 16S ribosomal RNA". It matches the Rfam family "Bacterial small subunit ribosomal RNA", at positions 338 to 795 of the family's 1533-position model. The record is from RNAcentral.